GGACUACAGGGGUUUCUAAUCCCGUUCGCUCCCCAUGCUGUCGUGUCUGAGCGUCAGUGUCGAGCCAGGGCGCCGCCUUCGCCUCUGGGGUUCCUCCGGAUCUCUACGCAUUUCACCACUACACCCGGAAUUCCACGCCCCUCUCUCGCACUCUAGCUGACCAGUCUGGCAUAACCCCUCCAGGUUGAGCCUGGAUAUUUCAUACACCACUUGGUCAGCCGCCUGCACACGCUUUACGCCCAGUAAAUCCGGAUAACGCUCGCCACCUACGUUUUACCGCGGCUGCUGGCAC
Molecule: ribosomal RNA, 292 nt
Filed under: uncultured bacterium
Lineage: Bacteria
Description: partial 16S ribosomal RNA
Source: RNAcentral